Molecule: long non-coding RNA, 476 nt
Organism: Oncorhynchus tshawytscha (Chinook salmon)
Lineage: Eukaryota; Metazoa; Chordata; Actinopteri; Salmoniformes; Salmonidae
Source: Ensembl
ACCAGGUAUAACAGUGGUAAGGUGUUGGGACUCUGCUGAUAACCAGGUCUAACAGUGGAAAGGUGUUGGGACUCUGCUGUUGGGACUCUGCUGCUGGGACUCUGCUGAUAACCAGGUAUAACAGUGGUAAGGUGUUGGGACUCUGUUGAUAACCAGGUAUAACAGUGGUAAGGUGUUGGGACUCUGCUGAUAACCAGGUAUAACAGUGGUAAGGUGUUGGGACUCUGCUGAUAACCAGGUAUAACAGUGGUAAGGUGUUGGGACUCUGCUGUUGGGACUCUGCUGAUAACCAGGUAUAACAGUGGUAAGGUGUUGGGACUCUGCUGAUAACCAGGUAUAACAGUGGUAAGGUGUUGGGACUCUGCUGAUAACCAGGUAUAACAGUGGUAAGUUGUUGGGACUCUGCUGUUGGGACUCUGUUGAUAACCAGGUAUAACAGUGGAAAGGUGUUGGGACUCUGCUGUUGGGACUCUGUU